GGAAUAUUGGGCAAUGGAGGAAACUCUGACCCAGCGACGCCGCGUGCGGGAAGAAGGCUUUCGGGUUGUAAACCGCUUUCAGUAGGGAAGAAGCGAAAGUGACGGUACCUACAAAAGAAGCACCGGCUAACUAUGUGCCAGCAGCCGCGGUAAUACAUAGGGUGCAAGCGUUGUCCGGAAUUAUUGGGCGUAAAGAGCUCGUAGGUCGUUUGUUACGUCGGAUGUGAAAACCUGAGGCUCAACCUCAGGCCUGCAUUCGAUACGGGCAAACUAGAGUUUGGUAGGGGGGACUGGAAUUCCUGGUGUAGCGGUGGAAUGCGCAGAUAUCAGGAGGAGCACCAAUGGCGAAGGCAGGUCUCUGGGCCAAUACUGACACUGAGGAGCGAAAGUCUGGGGAGCGAACAGGAUUAGAUACCCUGGUAGUCCAGACCGUAAACGGUGGGCACUAGUUGUGGGAACCUUCCACGGUUUCUGCGACGCAGCUAACGCAUUAAGUGCCCCGCCUGGGGAGUACGAUCGCAAGGUUAAAACUCAAAUGAAUUGACGG
This 547-nucleotide ribosomal RNA is filed under the name uncultured bacterium. RNAcentral's name for it is "bacterial SSU rRNA". It matches the Rfam family "Bacterial small subunit ribosomal RNA", at positions 358 to 916 of the family's 1533-position model. The record is from RNAcentral.